UGGGCGGCGGGAGAACGCCGGGGUGUCCGGGGGCUGUGCAGGGCCCUGCUGCCAGGCCUCCGCCGCUGUGGGGCUGUUUGUGUGUCCUCUUGAACGUUAAGGUGGUGCGAGGUCAACGGGUCUAGCUGGGCCACCACGGCACCACAAACGUGCGCUCUGGGUGCUCGGCGCGGCCAGCCUGGCUCUCCGUCUUUCCAGGGCCGUGAUGCCUCCAGGUCUCACCCGACAGGGCUGCGCGGGUAGAAGUGAGCCGCGGCGGCCCGGGAUGUCUGCGCUGUGCUCGAGUGCCAAGGUAGCUCAGGUAGAAAGCUGCAAACCGCAGGAAUUAAUCUUUGCGGACAAAGGCUUCCCUGCUAAGGACUGGUCUGGAUUCGAGGAUGCACUUGAAGCUGCAGGCUGUAUGUGAGCAGAGGCACUUCCAGGGCAGAAGAACAGGCAUCUUCAUGGAAACAGUGCCUUUUAAGUGAAUCCUUGCAGCAGGCUGGCAAGUUUGUUUGUAGAAGGGAUUGCUUGUGAUGGGGAUUCUCCAGCCAGGACCUCUGAACAGACCAAUGACAAGCUGCCCUAUUUCACAUCACAAGGGUAGGACAGCUAGUUCCUUCUUCAGAUCUUCUCCCUGCUGUGACUGUAGCCCUACCUCCUGCAUGUCC
Molecule: long non-coding RNA, 650 nt
Filed under: Dromaius novaehollandiae (emu)
Lineage: Eukaryota; Metazoa; Chordata; Aves; Casuariiformes; Dromaiidae
Description: lncRNA (ENSDNVG00000014992.1)
Source: RNAcentral